GCGUAGGUAACCUGCCUUGUAGCGGGGGAUAACUAUUGGAAACGAUAGCUAAUACCGCAUAACAAUGGAUGACACAUGUCAUUUAUUUUGAAAGGGGCAAUUGCUCCACUACAAGAUGGACCUGCGUUGUAUUAGCUAGUAGGUGAGGUAACGGCUCACCUAGGCGACGAUACAUAGCCGACCUGAGAGGGUGAUCGGCCACACUGGGACUGAGACACGGCCCAGACUCCUACGGGAGGCAGCAUG
Molecule: ribosomal RNA, 246 nt
Filed under: uncultured bacterium
Lineage: Bacteria
Description: partial 16S ribosomal RNA
Rfam family: Bacterial small subunit ribosomal RNA
Source: RNAcentral